UACGAAGGGGGCUAGCGUUGCUCGGAAUCACUGGGCGUAAAGCGCACGUAGGCGGAUUGCUAAGUCAGGGGUGAAAUCCCGGAGCUCAACUCCAGAACUGCCUUUGAUACUGGCGAUCUCGAGUCCGGGAGAGGUGAGUGGAACUGCGAGUGUAGAGGUGAAAUUCGUAGAUAUUCGCAAGAACACCAGUGGCGAAGGCGGCUCACUGGCCCGGUACUGACGCUGAGGUGCGAAAGCGUGGGGAGCAAACAGG
This 253-nucleotide ribosomal RNA is filed under the name uncultured bacterium. Its description in RNAcentral is "partial 16S ribosomal RNA". It matches the Rfam family "Bacterial small subunit ribosomal RNA", at positions 524 to 776 of the family's 1533-position model. The record is from RNAcentral.